Non-coding RNA from Tricharina praecox, 109 nucleotides. The record is from the annotation of a RefSeq genome assembly. NCBI's taxonomy places the organism in Eukaryota, Fungi, Ascomycota, Pezizomycetes, Pezizales, Pyronemataceae.
GGUCGCUUAGCUCAGUUGGUUAGAGCGUGGUGCUAAUACCUUCGCACGGUCCUUCUUGCGGGCCCGGUGGUCAACGCCAAGGUCACAGGUUCGACCCCUGUAGUGAUCA